UUAUUUUUCUGAUGGAAGUAGUAAUAAACUCGAUAGUAUUCAUCACCAUGCAAUUUUGACAGGUUUCCACACCCCUUUUAGGGCUUAUGUCCCACCUUCCCACCUCCCAUUUCCGUUGGCACCAAAGUAUAGCGCCGUUGGCCAUUUUGAAAAAAUGUGUGUGUGUAUGUGUUUGACUAGGGGAAGUGUUGUGUAUGUUGGUGGUUGGGUAAAUGGAGAGAAAAAGGUUGAAAGAAGAGUAUGAGAGAGUGUAAAGAGGAAAAAAGAGAGUCUGAGUAAGGUUUAGAGGAAAAAAAGUAAAUUUGAAAGAAGAGAGGUAAGUUAUUGAAGAAAAG
Chelonoidis abingdonii (Abingdon island giant tortoise) is the source of this 335-nucleotide non-coding RNA. NCBI's taxonomy places the organism in Eukaryota, Metazoa, Chordata, Testudines, Testudinidae. The record is from RefSeq and is a predicted model, not a curated record.